Alosa sapidissima (American shad) is the source of this 8231-nucleotide long non-coding RNA. RefSeq lists it as uncharacterized. The transcript is spliced from 3 exons. The record is from RefSeq and is a predicted model, not a curated record. NCBI's taxonomy places the organism in Eukaryota, Metazoa, Chordata, Actinopteri, Clupeiformes, Clupeidae.
GGAGGGAGAGAGAGAAGAAGAAAAAAGAGGGAAAAAAGGAAAUCACAGCCAUACAGGCAGUGCUCCUCGACCAAGCCCUAUCUGCAGCUCAGCGGUGGGAGAGGACGUUAUAUGCCUGUCUGCUCCUCCCUCUCUCCAAAGGGUCCCAUCUGUCAGCCAUUAGUGCACCAGGGGCUGCUGGUGGAGAAGCUGGCAGAGCGUGUGGGACCAGGGGACAGCUUCACCUCCAGGUGCAGGGCACAGAGGAUGAGGGCAAGGGCAGCCACCUCCGCUCCACUCACACACAUGGCACACAUGGAGCCAUGCUCACAACUCUGGAAGGGAAUCCUGACUGCAGGCUAAAGAGGAUCCAGUUCCCUGCACUAUGUCUUUGACUAUCCAAGCGGUAAGCCAGAGGGCCAAAGCAUGAUGAGACCAGACUUGUCAAUAACCAACCAGCAAAGACCGAAAUGCCGAAACACAUCCUCUAAAUGUUUGGACAUGACCUGUUUCCGCCAAGUCGUUUACAUGGUAAAUAUGCUAUACAUUCACCAUUUUGUGUCGUUCCAUUGCUUUGGUGCAAGUUCAAACUCUUUGAGGUUUGAGUCAGAGUAAAGGGCCGUUCACACCAGGAACGAUAACUAUAAAAAAUAUCGCUCUCGUUAAUAUGAAUGACGACGUUCACACAUAAACUAUAACGAUGACGACAUGAAGAACAAUAUCAUUGGGGAUCACUUUCAGAGCCAUUUUGAGAAUGAUAACGCUAACAGCCAAUCAGAACCCAUUUUAGCCAUCACUAACACAAGGAGAUACUUUACUUAUCGUUGGUCAGUGUGGACGCUUUUAUUGUAAUGGAUAUAGUUAUCGUUAUAGUUAUCAUUUCUGGUGUGAACGGCCCUUAAGGAUGGUAGAUGCAACUGAUCAUUCUAAUGGAUAUAAAUGUUAUUUAGAAUAGGAAAGAAAUGUGCAAAGAGUAAAAUAGUAAACUUACAGUAUAUAAAUGUGAAACCGUUUUAUCCUGACAAAGAAAUACUGCCUAAACUACUUCACAUGUCCAAAUAAACACCAUUUCCAUAUGAAUAUGUGAAUGCCAAGCUUGAAUUCAGACCACACCACACAGGGCAGACAGAGCAAAGGGUCUUAUAAUACUGAGCAUAUGUGUUCCCAUGCUGCAUAGCCUUUUCAAAGAAGCCCAGCACUGACCUGCAGCCAGUCCAAACUCAAGAGUUGUGUGAAGACAGUCCAGAAUAUUACACCUCUCACUACCAAACACACGCUAUACAUGUGCUUAUCACAUGGCAACUAUCUGAGCUCAGAGGGGGGUAAUCUUCAUAUUUUGUUCAUAUUUGUAAGACAAACUGAUAAGUGGUGUCAUUUUUCCAGGGAGAGUCGGCAUCAUUUUGCCGUAGGCUGUUUAAAAAUGAGCUAUGAGUCUAGUUGAAACAUGCUCCUUGCUAACUGACACAAUAGAGUGUCACAAAAAAGGGGGAUUACAGAAGAGGAUGGGAAGAUAUGCAUGUGUCUGUUUUUCCUCUCUCUCUCUCUCUCUCUCUCUCUCUGUGUCAAGGUCCUUUUUUCGCAGGGGAGAGAAGUCAAAACAACACAUGCUGUCGACGUGGGAACAGCUGGUAAGAGUGAGCAGUGGAAUGCCGGAGGCCGGGCUGCAGAUCAAUCAUCUGCCAGGGUGAAAAUAACCACCCUGACCUGAUCACCACGCAAAAGAGAGCGACCUCCUCAACCCAUCUUACACUAAGACACCUUUCACGCAAAAUGUAUGUUAAACUCGUAACCACAUACAGUCAUGAAGACAUCUAGAUGUUCAUUGUCAAUGGAAUUAUAUCAAGGACACCUUUUACAUACUUUACAUAUACAUAUUCUAAAGAGAACAGGGUAUGUGGUCACUGGUGUUACAUAGAUUAUAUAGACGCAGGCUGUGGUUCUCAAAAAUCAGUGUCCAGGCAGCUGAGGAAGUAAGGCCAUAAUUUUGCUAUUGCUGCUCUCUGAGAAAGUAUGGCAGCCAAAUAAACACUGCUAAGACAGCCUAUAGUUUCUUGUGCAGAGUUUUCUCUGUAUGCUAACACCACUCAGCAAAAGAUAAACUAUGCAGCCAUAAGUCAACACCAAACAACACAACUUGGACCUACUCACCCCAAAAGCUCAUCUGGAACUUAUUUUUAACUUUUCCGCCCUAUGCAUUACAAAAUUAUCUUGGGUAUACAAUAAGCACACCUUAGUUGGCUAUAGAAAGAAUGAGACAGCUUGGGCACUGGCUAGACAGCAUAGCUUGGUUACAUUCUAAUAAUAAUAACAUAAAUUUCCCCUAGUAUAUCAUAAUCAAUCUCACCAUACUUACGGUGAUCAGAUUUCUUCAGAUUUGUUCAAUACUUUCAAGCUUUAGGCUACGUUUUUAUAAACGGACAUUUCACCCUCUCUGUUUCAAAAAUAACAUUGUGCACACCUGUCUGUUUUCAGAAAAGUUUUCGUUUACACUAACCCGUGUAUAUAUGUCGUCAAGAGCAUGCCAAACCUGUAGGUGGCAGUGUAACGAGAAGCUCAAGCCCACAUUAGUCAAUCAGAAUCCCGAAAAUAGCAAAUGCAAACAGACAAAAAGAGUUUGCACCAACAUAAAUGCGACUGCUACUCUGAAUGCAUCCAUGAUCACCAUAGCUAAAUGAAAAUGUAAACAUAGAUUGCACUUUUGGCUCAGGUGCAAGUUCUGGUGCAUACUGAGAUGUUGGUUGCCUAAACCUCCAUUUUUGUCAGUUUACAUGCAAACGUGCAACCAAAGUUUUCCAAAAUCUCCACUCUGGCUGGAGUUAUUAGAAUCAUUUUCAGAGGCAAAUUAUCCAUUUGCAUUUACACAAAAUAACCAUGUAUGUGUAAACGGAGUCUCAGCCUCCACUUAAGAGUACCUGGUUAACAUCCAGGGACAUUGGAAUCAAAGACAAGGUUGUGUGAGAGGGCCCCAAAUUCUCAUUCAAGGGUUUGCUGACUUUCAACACCUGCUCUGCAUGUCUCUCAUUAACGCAUUCCUGCUAGCUGAGUGUCCUGUGUUUACAUUACUCCGUUUAAUGGAGACAUUAGAAGGUGAUGUUGUUCUACGUUGCAGUGUUAGGUGCUGCAUUUACUGAGUGGCUCGCUCUUUAGUGAGCACAGGUGCAGGCAACAGAGUCUUGCAAAGGGCAAGACAAUUUAUACGCAAGUCAAGUGUGCUUCAAUUUGCUAAAAAGAUAAAAUCCCUGUGCACUGGCUGUUUUUGGAUCCCAGGUGCUGGUGGUGUGCAGGAAUAUCAGACGUUAAAAUAUAAAGAUCAUCACCACACACUAGUCUAAUAUUAGGAAUUGUUUAUAAGGAGCGAACAAUGUGUAGCUUCUUCAGGUUCACUCUCCAAGUAGCUAGCCAACUAUAACUCACUAGUCAACAGGAACAAUUACGCAGUUACAAACUAUGCUGCAGGCCCUGAUUAAAACUAGCUAGUUUGCUAACAAAUGUUUUUUCAGCGUUUUGGUGACAUGCUGUAAUAGCAAUUUUAAAAUUUACCUGUAAGGGUAUAACCUGUCUUUAACAUGACUAUACACCAAUCAGCCACAACAUUAAAUCAUCUGCGUAAUAUUGCGUAGGUCUCCCUCUUGCCGACAAAACAGCUUUGAAUCUUCAAAGCAUGGACUCCACAAGAUCUCUAAAGGGGUCCUGUGGUAUCUGGUAUCACAACAUUAGCAGCAGACUCUUUUAAGUCCUGUAAGUUGCAAGUUGUUAAGUCCUGUAAGUUGAGAUCAGGUGAAUUUGGAAGCGAAGUCAACACCUUGAACACUUUUGUCAUGUUCCUCUAACAUUUACAGAACAAUUUUUGCAGUGUGGCACAUCAUCAUAUUGCUGGAAAAGGCCAAUACAAUCAGGGAAUUCCAUGGUCAUGAAGAAAUGUAAGUGGUCUGCUACAGUUUUUAUGUUUGUGGAUUGGGUCAAAGUAACAUCCACAUUGAGUGCCAAGGCCCAGAGCAUCACACUGCCUCCAGCAUUUUGCCUUGUUCCCAUAGUGCCUCCAGCUGCCAUCUCAUUCGUGGGUAAACAACACACGAACAACUGGCCAUGAUGAAAAAUGAAAAGAAAAUGUGAUCCAUCAGACUAGACUUUCUCCUGUUGCUCCAUAGUCCAGAUAUGUCGCUCACAAAACAUCAUGCUAUUAUAGGUGCUUCUCUGGAUAAGGUUCAGCAUGUGUAGUCUGACCAGUCUGUGGUUAUGCAGUCCCAUACACAGCAAGCUGUGAUGCACUGUGUGCUCUGACAUCUUUCUAUCAUAGAGCAGCAUAAAGGUUCUAAACGUUUUGUGCUACAACAGUUCUUCAGUGGGAUGCACUCCCCACAUUCAAUGAGCCUUAGGCAUCCAUGACCCUGUUGCUGGUUUAAAGGUUGUUCUACCUUGGACCACUUUUGGUAGAUUGUUGACCACUGCAUACCGGGACCACCCCAAAAGGCCUGCCAUUUUGGAGAUGCUUUGACCCAGUUCUCUAACCAUCACAAUUUGGCCUGGAACAAAAUUGCAUGGAUCAAAAAAAUCUGACUGUUUGCUGGCUGCCUAAUUUAUCUCAUUCUUACAGCGAUGCCACUGUAUCAAGAUAAUCAAUGGUAGCCUAUUCACUUCAUCUGUCAGUGGUUUUAAUGUUGCUGAUUGGUGUAUACCAUCAAAACAUGCUUGAUGAAGUUAUGAAAAAAUAGCUAUCUACACAAACAUACUUUCAACACUGUGGAAAAAGAUUUUCACACUUCAUCUGUUUGAUAAAGUUGUUGGCUGCGUCUGACCAGGAAAGUCAGUGAGGUUUGGCGUAGCAUAAGGUUUUCAUCCUAAAUUUGGCUUAACAAUGAUUUGUGACUAGCCUGUACACACAUUGCAAUCAGAACCAUCACACUCCCCACUUCUACAAGCAAAGCGUACAGUAUGUGAUUGAGUUUGCCAUGUGAUUGAGUUUGCAUAAGAUAUCCAAGGGGAAAAUCCUGUCAGCCACCAGUGCCUGCAAUUCUAGAGUACAUAUUUGUAGUCAAGGGUCAAACACCAAGCUUUGGAGUAGCGCCAUUCAUUAUUCUGAUGAAUACUACACUAGUACUUGAUGGUUUUAGGCUGGGGAGACAUAUUGUGAUUUAGACAGCGGUGUCUUUAAUCAUGGCCAGAGACUGGAUUAAGUAUGUAACAUCGAUGAGCAGUCUCAGGCAGACAUGCUGGUAUUUCCUUCCCAUCUGUGCACCAGUGGCCCUUUAGCUCAGAGCGGCGCUCAACGAGAAACAGACCAGACAGGUAAUGAAGAAUGCACAUAGGAAGAGAAGGGGCCUUUAAAAUGAGCAGAGCCGAGUCAAAGUCAAGAACCUCAGUGUGGUAGGUGUCUCUGUUGGAUACUACCGAGCGAAAUGUCAUAUUGUCAUAUGGAGUAGCAGUUUAACGGGUUUGAAGGUUCAAUAGAAAGGAAGUGAUAGUGAUAAUCUUGAGUUGCCUGGUGAGCAGGAAACUGAGUUAGCCUAAGAUCUAAGAUACCCUAUCCAUCGCAUAACUCUACUCCAAAGCACUGGCUCACUCAGCAAUAUGAACCAUGUGCCCUGUAUCAUUCUCAAUCUGUGGGUAUACAGAGGGGAUACAAUCUAAUCAAUAAUUACAUAAAGAGAUACGCCCUUCCAAGAAGUUAAAAUCACCUCAAAGAGAGCUGUCACCUCUAAGCUUAAAAGAUUGCUUGGAGUUUGGUGAUGUUAGCUUGAGGCAAAGCAGCUGCUCUGUCUGGUUGUCUGCUAUGGGCCCUGUUCCUGAUCACGCAACAAACCAGGGAAAGCCCAGCUUAAACACUUCCAGAUUGCCUGCGACAUCUCUCAUUUGAUCCUGUUGUAUCCCUAACCAGAUGGAGUGCCGGCUUUAGAAACCCCUAUGGCUCCACAAGCUUUUUGAAUUGGAAAUACACAUAUUUUGUAUUGGCGUUGGCAUAAUUAUAUUAGUUUUUGUUCACAGCUGGUCAGUCUUUGGCAAACUAUUUAAACAACUAUGUUUAAACCUCAGGCUAAAUUAAUGGCUAUAAAGGGAGCGAUUUGUAUCACAGGAAAGACUCACUGAGGUUAACACACAAUUUCUAACAUGCCAUUUCUAAAAUAUGAGCAUCUUGGCCUCAGGAUCUACCAUAUCUGGGGUAGGUCCAAAUUGUACAAACAUAACAUGAUUGUUGUUACUUCAUUAUUCUUUUAAAUGAAGCAUAGGAUGUUUUAAUCAGACAUUUAAUUGCUGUUUAAAAACAGGCCACAAUGCAUCAAAGUUGGCAGAGAGUUGGAUACAAAUAUCACAGUGCUAGGGAAUAAAUUUUGUGGUCACAAACACAUUUCUUUGAUUCAAAACAGACAGGAAAUUAAAUAAUGGGGGGGAUGAAAACAAGGUCACUCUUCUGUUUAAAAAAUGGCUUUUCUCCAUCUUCUCCAACUGUUUGGCCUUUUUAAUAAAGCCUUCAUUGCCUUUGUCAAAGUUCUGCUCUUGUUGAAUGUGCAUGUAUUGCUUAACAUCUGCAACAUGUAGGGAAUGGGUCUCUGUCAAGGCUAACAAUUUACUUCUGACCUGCGUUUGGUAUGAUUUUAUAUAGCACCAAAGGCAUUAACAGCAUUAACAUCCAGCUUAACCGCCAGCACUUUACUCUGAGAAGAACCCUGGCUGAAUGGAGAGUAACUACUACACUGAACAUAAACAUACCCCCAGAGUUUAGCACUGUAGCUGCUUGGUUGCUCUAGCUGUUGGCUGCAGCAACUCGAGCUAGGUAGAACCAUUUUUUUUUUGUUUCUCUUCAUACAGACAGUACUCAGUGACCUCAAGAAAUCUCGGUGAAAAAUCACCAGAAUUCUCCUUUAAGAUCGAACUCACUGCUGGCCUUGCCUAUACCUCCCUGCGCGCAUGGCACAUGACCGUGAUCAGAAAACACUAGCACGGAGAAGUCAGGGGGUGUCUGACCCAGCAGUGACAGGGCUCACGUGUGCCCUAAGGGUUCCUUGGGACCCUUGAGACUAUGCAUAGGACAUGUGGGUCUCAUUUAAACACAGACAUCAGGUUUGAGGCCAAUUCAGGCAAUCCACCCCCUCUACUCCUAGUCAGAAAGCAACCACUGCUCAGUUUUGGUAGAUGAAAUCUGGAUUUUAAAAGCAAAUCAGGUUUUGGAGUCAGUCGAAUGAGUCAUACAACUGAUUCAAAGAAUAGGGAAAUGUUUAGCUGAAGUGAGUACAAAUUGAUAGCCUUUGGUCUUUUUAAUGGUUACCCCGUUUGUAUUCAAUUAGAAAUAAGUCUGCAAUGAUCAACGCUGAUCUAUCUGAUGGCCAAGGUAAGUUUUUUUAAAGGCAGAUAAUAAUGUAUAGAAAAGUUAUUGCUGAGUAAUCUGUUUGGUUCCAAACAUGAACCCCAUGCAGACCCUGCAACAGACUUCCCUAAUGAUUACUUACAGUGGAAAAUUGUUUUGUUAGUGUGCUAUCUAGCUCUGUGCUCACAUAAAAAUGACAAAUGACCUAAAAUUUGCAUUGGAGGAGGCUGGGUCAAUAGAUGUUUCAGGGGGCCCCACAGUGUGUGAAAACAGGUCUUGCAUAACUGUACCCACUCAUUCACUGGGUUGAAAGGUCAAUUUACUUUUGUAGCUAUGAGAAACAUCCCAGUAAUGUUACGCAAAUAAAAAAAAAACUACAAAAACCAGGCAAUUUCCUUCCUUUCCAGACAUAUCCUAAGCCUCUAAUAAACUAGAGGACUGGAUAGAGCAUAUUGCUACACAAGGCUUCACAGAAUGGUAUGCAGUGUUUAUCUGCUAUUUUUUUUCAGAGGAAUAGAAAUGCAGGGCAAACGUAUGUCUCUUUGUUUUAUAUAUCAGCCUCAGAGUCAUAUAAUCAUUUUCAGAUAAAUCAUUUUAUUGUGUAAAUUCCUAAAUGGCUACAUUUGGUAACUUCCCAUGACUUAUAAUGAAACUGUGUUUGUAUAAAUGUAUGGUGUAAUAUAACAACAAAAUGCCACAGUUAAUAUUGUACGUAAUAUUUCAGCUGCUAAAAUGCAAUUCUCUUGGUCCACAUACAUGUUUAACCCACUAUGAACCAUUUAGCAGACAUGCUUAAUAUAUUUCUAUAGGGAUAACAUAUUUUUUUAUUAAAAUUUCAUUAUGAAUGUGAUUAUUCUCAAUUUUUUUUCCCCAAAGCAAUGGCCAUUUGGUCUUCUUAUGCAGUGGUUCUCAAAUGGAGGCAUGCGCACCCCUGGGGGUACCUGAAGGCACU